This 818-nucleotide long non-coding RNA is filed under the name Vigna radiata. RNAcentral's name for it is "long non-coding RNA (VRAD_LNC002358)". The record is from RNAcentral. Lineage: Eukaryota; Viridiplantae; Streptophyta; Magnoliopsida; Fabales; Fabaceae.
UACCAAAUCGUCUAAAGUAAUAAACCGGUAAGACCGGAAAUCGUUUCCCAAGAGACUCGUGAAACUAGACAAUCGUAUAAUUUCUAACUAACCUAGACUAAAGAAUGUUUCCAUAAUUUGAGUUUUGGUGAAAUUAAAGUAACUAUAAAACAUAAAUGAUAAAAGUGAUCUUAAGCACUCAAACACUUUGAAAUGGAGAGAUUAGAAAUGCAAUGGAAUGAUAUUGUUGGGGGUAUGCUUUCACCGACUUCACUCUUAUGUAAAUAAAAUUACUUCCUCUUCAUUAAAUUGUCAAAGUCAAUCUACUAAAUUACUCAAACCCCAAUCCCUUGGUAGAAAGAGUCUAGACUUCCUUAUUAAGCUCCAAUCCCUUGGAAAACCUAACAAUUAGUUCUGCAUUAAGAAAUGAGAUUUUAAGACAACCAAAGGGCCUAGUUCUAUCCCUAGAUACUAUUUCCUUUAGGUGUUUAACCCAAAUCUGGAUUUACCCAACAUUUCCCAAUAUUAAGCAACCCUAAAAUCAAGUUAUGAGUAGCAAUUUCACAACAAGCAUUAAGAGAAGAAAUCAAACACUAGCAAUCAAUGAAAGAGGCAUAUUUUCAUUCAAAACAAAAUGAUUUACAUAAAAGUUCAGUGGCUACAACAAUCCCCCAACAACAAUGAAACUAGCUCUCCAUGAAUGGAGAGCUUGAGCUUACAACAAUGGUGGAAAUGGAAGAAGAAAGGAGACCCAAGGAUGAAGAAGGAGUGUUCCCACAGCUCCAAGCUGCCUCCAAGAGCUCCAAAACGAGAGAAAACGAGUCUGGGUGCAAAAAGAU